This 490-nucleotide ribosomal RNA is filed under the name uncultured bacterium. Its description in RNAcentral is "partial 16S ribosomal RNA". It matches the Rfam family "Bacterial small subunit ribosomal RNA", at positions 28 to 507 of the family's 1533-position model. The record is from RNAcentral.
GAUGAACGCUAGCUACAGGCUUAACACAUGCAAGUCGCGGGGCAGCAUGGGGGUUGCUUGCAAUCCCCGAUGGCGACCGGCGCACGGGUGAGUAACGCGUAUCCAACCUGCCCUUCACCACGGGAUAACCCGGCGAAAGUCGGACUAAUACCGUAUGUUGUCCAUUGACGGCAUCCGAUUUGGACGAAAGGUUUGGCGGUGAAGGAUGGGGAUGCGUCCGAUUAGCUGGACGGCGGGGCGACGGCCCACCGUGGCGACGAUCGGUAGGGGUUCUGAGAGGAAGGUCCCCCACACUGGAACUGAGACACGGUCCAGACUCCUACGGGAGGCAGCAGUGAGGAAUAUGGGUCAAUGGGCGUAAGCCUGAACCAGCCAAGUAGCGUGCAGGAUGACGGCCCUAUGGGUUGUAAACUGCUUUUAUGCGGGGAUAAAGUGGCCCACGUGUGGGUUUUUGCAGGUACCGCAUGAAUAAGGACCGGCUAAUUCCGUG